This 555-nucleotide ribosomal RNA is filed under the name uncultured bacterium. RNAcentral describes it as "partial 16S ribosomal RNA". It matches the Rfam family "Bacterial small subunit ribosomal RNA", at positions 355 to 902 of the family's 1533-position model. The record is from RNAcentral.
UGGGGAAUUUUGGACAAUGGGCGAAAGCCUGAUCCAGCAAUGCCGCGUGUGUGAAGAAGGCCUUCGGGUUGUAAAGCACUUUUGUCCGGAAAGAAAUCCUUGGCUCUAAUACAGUCGGGGGAUGACGGUACCGGAAGAAUAAGCACCGGCUAACUACGUGCCAGCAGCCGCGGUAAUACGUAGGGUGCAAGCGUUAAUCGGGAUUACUGGGCGUAAAGCGUGCGCAGGCGGUUUGCUAAGACCGAUGUGAAAUCCCCGGGCUCAACCUGGGAACUGCAUUGGUGACUGGCAGGCUAGAGUAUGGCAGAGGGGGGUAGAAUUCCACGUGUAGCAGUGAAAUGCGUAGAGAUGUGGAGGAAUACCGAUGGCGAAGGCAGCCCCCUGGGCCAAAUACUGACGCUCAUGCACGAAAGCGUGGGGAGCAAACAGGAUUAGAUACCCUGGUAGUCCACGCCCUAAACGAUGUCAACUAGUUGUUGGGGAUUCAUUUCCUUAGUAACGUAGCUAACGCGUGAAGUUGACCGCCUGGGGAGUACGGUCGCAAGAUUAAAACUU